Molecule: long non-coding RNA, 1681 nt
Organism: Octopus bimaculoides (California two-spot octopus)
Lineage: Eukaryota; Metazoa; Mollusca; Cephalopoda; Octopoda; Octopodidae
Source: RefSeq, a predicted model, not a curated record
AUGUAUAUAUACAUGUGUGUGUGUAUAAUCUAAACAAUAUAGGUAAGACAUGUAGCUGUUCAUACACGUUGUUGUUCACAUCUACCGAGGUUCACCUACGCCACUGCUAAUGUUCACAGACGCUAGUAUUCACUCACAAGGCUGUUCACAACCAUUGCCGUACGCAUACAUCCACCUAUGCCCUUCGUACAGCAACAAACACCAUUUUUCUAUUAACCAGAGAAACACAAAGUGAUUUAUCAUAAACGACAGAGAUACGUUACACAAUAACUAUUUAGAUCUUUAAUUGUUUUAAGUUCAAACCCCACUAAAGUCACUUUGCCUCUAGUGGUUCUUCCACAGUCAAUAACAUAAUUACCAGUAAGCUUCUCGAACCAAUACAAUUCAAAAAUAUUUUAGCAAACCUGAAAAUUACACAAUAUUUUUUGCUUUAUUCCAAAUGAUAGAUUGGCCAGGGAAAUAAUGUUACGAAAAAUUAGCGCCACGCUCUUUUUUUUUUUUUUUCAAUUUUUAUUUUUCAUAUUUUAUCUUAUUUAUUUAUUUGUUUGUUGUCACUUUACAACAAAGUUAUGGAAGAAUCUCCAUUCUUUCGUUUUGAAAUGACGAUCACAUCUCAGAAUCUACAGAAUAUAAUCCCCAUUAACCCAUUUCUCAAAAUGGUUUUGAAGAAUGUCGUCUGCCAAAUUUGUCACGGCUAUGGUACAAGGUUGCAGCAAAAAUCGAUAGAUGGACAGAUAAUUGAGGUAUUCUUUGUGAAAAGGUUGUAAUUAAACAGAUAUUUGCUCAUUCCUGGAAUUCCUCAAACAAUUCAAACAUUCCUUUGGGGAAGAAGAGAGAACUGUUCUUUGUGAAGCCACAGAGAUGCCAAAAAAGGUAAAGCAAAGCAAAGGGGGAACCUAUAUGUGAUUGUUUAUUAUAGAUCUACUUGAUCACGGCUGACCUAGGGCUAAAUAACAGCCACAAGAGAAAAUUGCGUCACAAGGGAAGAUCUACAAGUUCUUCCAUUCCUAUUUGGAAAGGAGAAGUUCAGAAUUAUUUCGAGGAAAUAAUCUCAAUUCUAUGGUAAGAAAGAAAAUUCCUCGACAGCCAUGAUCGUAUAACCGAACUGGUUAGUACGGACCCGUAGAACAUCCACAGAUGGUGGUUGUAACAUAAAUACACAAGAAAGUUUGAUGGAAUGUUUUAACUGAAAUCACUCCAAAUCGGGAAGAUUGUGCUAUAGGACCAAAGGCAGUCUCGAGAUGUGUACCAAAAGAACCCACAUUUUUACACUGAGCUACAAAAAUGGCUUCAUGCUUCUUCAAAAAGAAAUCCCUGUAUUGUAUUCAUGUCGAGGAAAGAAUGGCCGUAAGGGGAUAUAAUUUCAAGAUUAGGUUCGAAGAAUAUUAAAGGAUGAGGAGUGGCAAAACACAAUGAAAGGAAACAUCUGAAUGCGAUCUUGAAUAGAGAUUUAUCAGAAACAAAAACCUUCGCCUCUUACCCCGACCUCGUCCAUACAAUAAUUUCCUUCCCGGCUGCUGGCUCCACUUAACAGACGACCUCAAUCGCUGAAUCACACAUUGCUUUUUCCGCUUCUUUCAUUGAACUUGCUAAAACCAUUGUUCUCUGGUUUUUAAAACAUCUGCUCAAACAAUCGAUAGAUGUUUUAGGAAUUAAAAGUGAAAAUAAAAAUUCCUAUAAU